Molecule: long non-coding RNA, 729 nt
Filed under: Cucumis sativus (cucumber)
Lineage: Eukaryota; Viridiplantae; Streptophyta; Magnoliopsida; Cucurbitales; Cucurbitaceae
Description: long non-coding RNA (CSAT_LNC000294)
Source: RNAcentral
CUUUUCAUUUUUCUUUUCUUUUCUCUUUUCCCUUUUUCCAAUUUUUUUUCCUUUUCUUUUCUUUUCGUAUUUUUCUUUCUUUCUUUUGUUUUUUCUUUUCAAUUACUUCUUUUUCUAACUCUUUCAACUUUUCUUUUUUCAAGAAUUUUUUCUUACUUCUACCGAUUUUUUUUACUCACCAACUCUUUUUCUUUCUCUAAAUAAUAACUUAUUCUCCCUUUUUAUACAUGAGUCGAGUAAAGAUAUUAAAGCUUGGAGAUAGAGCACUUGAACAAACUUGAAGAUGAAGCACACCGACCUUGAUUGAAAAUGAAAGUAUCAUUAUUUUGACUUGAACUUGAUGAUGGAUCACACCAAGCUUGAAGAUGGAGAAGCGAGAUUACACCAACCUACAACAGAUGGAAGAUGAAGAUGAGACCCUAUCGGCUAUGACACAUGGAAGAUGAAGAUGAUGAUCCUAUCUGCCACGUCACAUGGAAGAUGAAUAUGGUGAUCCUAUAUGCUGCGUGAGAUGGAAGAUGAAGAUGAUGAGCUUAUCUACUGCUUCACAUCGAAGAUGCAGAUGAUGAUCCUAUCGACUGCGGUUGCGUUGAAACUGCAAAUGAUGAUCCUUUCGAUUGUAACACAUGGGAGAAGAUGAUAAUGAUGAUCCUCUCAGCUGUAACACAUGAGAGAAGAUUAUAAUGAUGAUCCUCUCGGCUGUAACACAUGGGAGAAAGAUGAAGAUGA